AGCCCUGUAGGAUAGCGGUCAAGUCUACGAGCCUUUGGAGCUUGUGACCCAGGUUCGAAUCCUGGCAGGGCUA
This is a non-coding RNA of Candidatus Pacearchaeota archaeon CG1_02_32_21, 73 nucleotides long. NCBI's taxonomy places the organism in Archaea, Nanobdellati. The record is from Rfam.